GCGGGGUGGAGCAGCCUGGUAGCUCGUCGGGCUCAUAACCCGAAGGUCGUCGGUUCAAAUCCGGCCCCCGC
Molecule: transfer RNA, 71 nt
Filed under: Citrobacter freundii
Lineage: Bacteria; Pseudomonadati; Pseudomonadota; Gammaproteobacteria; Enterobacterales; Enterobacteriaceae
Also listed under: 55 other names
Description: tRNA-Met
Rfam family: tRNA
About the family: Transfer RNA (tRNA) molecules are approximately 80 nucleotides in length. Their secondary structure includes four short double-helical elements and three loops (D, anti-codon, and T loops).
Source: RNAcentral